GAUGAACGCUGGCGGCGUGCCUAAUACAUGCAAGUCGAGCGAACGGACGAGAAGCUUGCUUCUCUGAUGUUAGCGGCGGACGGGUGAGUAACACGUGGAUAACCUACCUAUAAGACUGGGAUAACUUCGGGAAACCGUAGCUAAUACCGGAUAAUAUUUUGAACCGCAUGGUUCAAAAGUGAAAGACGGUCUUGCUGUCACUUAUAGAUGGAUCCGCGCUGCAUUAGCUAGUUGGUAAGGUAACGGCUUACCAAGGCAACGAUGCAUAGCCGACCUGAGAGGGUGAUCGGCCACACUGGAACUGAGACACGGUCCAGACUCCUACGGGAGGCAGCAGUAGGGAAUCUUCCGCAAAGGGCGAAAGCCUGACGGAGCAACGCCGCGUGAGUGAUGAAGGUCUUCGGAUCGUAAAACUCUGUUAUGAGGGAAGAACAUAUGUGUAAGUAACUGUGCACAUCUUGACGGUACCUAAUCAGAAAGCCACGGCUAACUACGUG
This 497-nucleotide ribosomal RNA is filed under the name uncultured bacterium. RNAcentral describes it as "partial 16S ribosomal RNA". It matches the Rfam family "Bacterial small subunit ribosomal RNA", at positions 28 to 507 of the family's 1533-position model. The record is from RNAcentral.